RNAcentral lists this ribosomal RNA (457 nucleotides) under uncultured bacterium. RNAcentral describes it as "bacterial SSU rRNA". It matches the Rfam family "Bacterial small subunit ribosomal RNA", at positions 337 to 794 of the family's 1533-position model. The record is from RNAcentral.
UCCUACGGGAGGCAGCAGUGGGGAAUCUUGCGCAAUGGCCGAAAGGCUGACGCAGCGACGCCGCGUGUGGGAGGAAGCUCUUCGGGGUGUAAACCACUGUUGCCCGGGACGAACGAGCAGCUUUUGCUGCUGUGACGGUACCGGGUGAGGAAGCACCGGCUAACUCUGUGCCAGCAGCCGCGGUAAUACAGAGGGUGCGAGCGUUGUCCGGAAUCACUGGGCGUAAAGGGCGCGUAGGCGGCUUGAUAAGCGUGCGGUGAAAGCCCGGGGCUCAACCCCGGGUCGGCCGUGCGAACUGUCGAGCUGGAGCACUGUAGAGGCAGGUGGAAUUCCGGGUGUAGCGGUGGAAUGCGUAGAGAUCCGGAAGAACACCGGUGGCGAAGGCGGCCUGCUGGGCAGUGGCUGACGCUGAGGCGCGACAGCGUGGGGAGCAAACAGGAUUAGAUACCCCGGUAGG